AAUCAUUAAUCAAAGGUAGCAGUUUAGUUUACAGGCAAAGUUUCAUGGUAGCUGUAUCGGAUAUAGUUACAUCUUUCAUAUGGGUUUGAGGUUAUGGUACUGAUAAUAUCGUCAUUAAGCGUGCAUAUUCUUCUUGCAUAGCCCUUGGACCUAAUAAGCUUUCUACCUUUCACACAUGAUAGAGCCUCUCAAAUUCUCAUGAAUUGCAUGCAUUUGAUAAAAGCACCAAUUAACCUGCAACAUGGGAUAAUUAGCUGUUCAGAAAGUUUCCCCUAACAAAUUGCAAAGCAAAUCA
Molecule: long non-coding RNA, 295 nt
Filed under: Elaeis guineensis (African oil palm)
Lineage: Eukaryota; Viridiplantae; Streptophyta; Magnoliopsida; Arecales; Arecaceae
Description: long non-coding RNA (EGUI_LNC021172)
Source: RNAcentral